This 78-nucleotide microRNA precursor is filed under the name Chinchilla lanigera (long-tailed chinchilla). Its description in RNAcentral is "miRNA (ENSCLAG00000020922.1)". It matches the Rfam family "mir-296 microRNA precursor family". Lineage: Eukaryota; Metazoa; Chordata; Mammalia; Rodentia; Chinchillidae. The record is from RNAcentral.
GGGCUCUUCCCGAGGGCCCCCCCUCAAUCCUGUUGUGUUCAGUCCAGAGGGUUGUGUGGAGGCUCUCCGGAGGGGCUC